AUGGCUGUUUGUACCGGUCCCGUUGGAGGAGGAGACGGCAGCCAGGGUAAGACGAGCCCCACCAGAACAGGGCCCUGCAAUUGCAACGGUGUUCUGCUAUGCCCCACCGGUGUCUAUUUUCAAGAAAGGAAAAAACGCCCCACCGGUGUCUCCUCCUUCCUUGGCACGCUACUUUGGAGGCCUGCCGAAAUUAUAAAGCCACAAAUCGGUGUUUACUUGUAUAUCAGUUUUCUUUUUGGCUGGUACUUUAUCAGUUUCUGUUUGAUUCUGCAACUUUUUUCUUUAAGGUCUAAAUUUCGUGAGGAUAUAUACAGUUCCCUUAAUCCAUUCAUUCUGGGCAAUUCUCUCAAGAGUUAG
Molecule: ribosomal RNA, 357 nt
Filed under: Triticum aestivum (bread wheat)
Lineage: Eukaryota; Viridiplantae; Streptophyta; Magnoliopsida; Poales; Poaceae
Description: partial small subunit ribosomal RNA
Source: RNAcentral